AUUGAACGCUGGCGGCAUGCCUUACACAUGCAAGUCGAACGGCAGCACGGGAGCAAUCCUGGUGGCGAGUGGCGAACGGGUGAGUAAUAUAUCGGAACGUGCCCAGUCGUGGGGGAUAACGUAGCGAAAGCUACGCUAAUACCGCAUACGAUCUAUGGAUGAAAGCGGGGGAUCGCAAGACCUCGCGCGAUUGGAGCGGCCGAUAUCAGAUUAGGUAGUUGGUGGGGUAAAAGCCUACCAAGCCUUCGAUCUGUAGCUGGUCUGAGAGGACGACCAGCCACACUGGAACUGAGACACGGUCCAGACUCCUACGGGAGGCAGCAGUGGGGAAUUUUGGACAAUGGGCGCAAGCCUGAUCCAGCAAUGCCGCGUGCAGGAUGAAGGCCUUCGGGUUGUAAACUGCUUUGUACGGACGAAACGGCUCUUUCUAAUAAAGGGAGCUAAUGACGGUACCGUAAGAAUAAGCACCGGCUAACUACGUAGCCAG
Molecule: ribosomal RNA, 487 nt
Filed under: uncultured bacterium
Lineage: Bacteria
Description: bacterial SSU rRNA
Rfam family: Bacterial small subunit ribosomal RNA
Source: RNAcentral